UUUACCAGGAUGUUGCCUGGUUUGGAGAACAAGUCAUGUGAAGCAAGGUUAGCAGAGCUGGGACUUUUCUCUUUGGAGCGCAGAAGGAUGAGAGAGCACUUGAUAGAGGUCUAAAAAACUAAUAAGAGGCAUAGAUAGGGUGGAUUGCUAGUACCUGUUUCCCAGGUCACCAACAGCAAACACUAGAGGGCGUAUGUACAAAGUUAAUGGAGGGAAGUUUAGGGGAGACAUCAGGGGUAAGUUUUUUACAAAGGUUUGUGGGUGCCUGGAACAACUUGCCAGGGAUGGUGGUGGAAGCUAAAACAUUAAGGGUAUUUAAGAACCUCUUGGACAGGCACAUGAAUGAAAGAAAAAUAGAGGGUCACGGGGUAGUGUGGGUUUAGUACUCUUUUUAAAGGAAUACGUGGGUCGGCACAACAUCCAGGGCGGAAGAGCCUGUACCGUGCUGUAGUAUUCUAGUGUCUAGAGUGUAGUGACUAGGGUCAUGUCGGAGGUAACUGUGUGAUAGAUGCUCCUAGUUAUACAUGAAUGUGCAGGAAAUGCAAGGAAAUGGUCAAUAAUAUAAGAAAGGAUACCAAUGUAUAUACUUUUUUCUUUCCCAGAUAUAUAAAUAGUGAAAAAAGGGAGAGGGUCGAUAUCGGACCACUAGAAACUGCUGUUGUAGUUGCAGUAACGGGUGAAAAGGAAAUGCCAGACAAACUCUGUGCAAGUCACUGGCAGAAUUCCAAAAGCAUUACAUCAACAAGAUGUGACAACAAGAACGGAAGAGAGGGGAGAGAGAGAGAGCAAAAUCAAAUGGAUGGCGGGCAUCACUGAAUCAUGGCUGACAAAAGUUUAUAGUUGGAUGGUUAAAUCCAAGGAUAAAUAUUGAAUCGAAAGGAUACGCAGAGAACAGCAUGCUGGGUCGACAACAGAGAGUCAGUGCAAGUUGUUUACUUGGACUUCCCGAGGACCUUUGACCAGGUGUCCCACAUAGACCGAUGAAAAAAUGGACAUAUCAGUGGCAAUUGGAAUGUGGUAUUGUGAGGUACGUGGCCAUAUACUUUAGCAGAAAUAAUGAAGAAGUAGACUAUUUUUGAAUCUGGGAGAAAAUUCAGAAAUCGGAGUUGUAAAGGGUCUCUGGAGACCUGGUGCAGGAUUCCGUGCAGGUUGAGUCUGUGUUAGGAAAGACAAAUACAAUGCCAGUAUUCAUUUCGAGAGGAUCAGAAUAUAAGCACAAGCACUGGCCAGACCGCACCUGCAUAUUUUGAUCCCCUGAUCAGAGAAAAUAUGUGAUGGCGUUGUGAAAAAUCCAGAGAGGAAUCUAACCGAACAGAACCUGUGAUAUUAAACUAGAUUUUGAUGGGAAUGGAUCCUGGAUGCACCUGUAGUGGCUGGAGUGUGGGAGUAUGAGGGGGAAUCUAGUUGCAACCUGUGGAAUAUCAAAAGGCAUUGAGAGGACGUGGAGAUGAUGCUUCUAAGUGGGGGAGUCUAGAACCGGACGGAACAGCCUCAGAUUAGAGGGACGUCCAUUUAGAGCAGAGAUGAGGAGAUUAUUUAGCUGAGGAGUAGUGAAUCUGUAGAAUUCAUUGGCAGUGACAGCUGCGGAGAAUAGGUCAUUGAGUAUAUUUAAAACAGAGGUUGAUAUCUUCUUGACUAGUGAUCAGAAAAGUUCACUGGGCGAAGGCAGGAGAAUGGGGUUGAGGGGGAUAGUAAAUCCCCAUGAUGUAAUGGCGGAGCAGAAUCGAUGGGCCUAAUGGACAAUUGUGCUCUUAUGGUCUCAUGAUGUGUAAAGACAAAAUAAGAUUAAGAAAUGUCAGUGCGGCUAUCUUAUAAUGGAGAUGGUUACUGCCUGGCACUCAUACUGUAAAAUGGUAAUGACUUCCUGAACGCAGGCAUGGGCUUCCUGAUUAACUGAAAAAUUAUGAAUUAAACUUUGAAUAGUCUUCAAGCAACAUACACCUAUGCUGGAAUUAAGGUAACUGAAUAUGGAUGGGCUUAGGACAUUGCUCUGAGAAAUAAGAGAGGCAGCGUUUAAGGGUAAGCACAACGUUGUGGGCCGAAGGGCCUGUACCGUGCUGUACUGUUCUAUGUUCUAUGUUCUCUGUCCCGGAUUUGAAUGGAUGAUCUCCUAGAACAGUUACCAGUAGGGAAUUGGAAAGGUUUUCCAUAACACGAUGAAUGGACAACAAUUAUGUAACAAAUCUGCAUAAUUCCCUGAUGGUCCACUGCACUGUAAAAUAAUCCCUCAGUUUCACUACUACCAGGUCUGAGGAGUUACCGUUGUGAAAGAAAUUUAACCAGUAAAGCAGACGUCUCCAGAUGACGAAUUUAUAGAUCGGCAUCAUAUUUACAGAUUACCCAUCUUGCCUUUGGAUAAUGCCUGUGUGAUUCAUUACAAACAGCGCCAAUGAAUCCCAACGGGAACAGAGUUCCUCACGGGUGCAACACACUUGAUUUUCUAAUACCACUCAUGGCUGAAUAGGUCAGAUCUAGGACAAGACAAUCACUGUUUGUGAGCUCCAAGGAGCUGAAAUGGUGUGUCCCUGUCUCUCAUUAGUCAGAUAUUCAGCAAGUUAGCAGAUUUAUUUUUUGUUUGCCCCUUCCCUUUCAGGACAACCUGUUGAUUUUUUGGGAUCAUGAGAUAUCAGCCAGUCAGCAGAUUUAUGUUUUGUGCUUUCUUCUGCACUUUUAGAUCAAACUGUUGAUGUUUGUGGUCGUACGAUAUCAGCUUUGUGCGUGAUCUUUCACAUCCAAUCAAUCUCAGAGUUUUUCGUGGAAGUUAACAAGAAAGUUGAUGCAGGCAAGCUUGUGGAUAUUGUCUACAUGGACGUCAGCACGGUAUUUGUCAAGGUCCCGUAUAGGAGGUCGGUCUAGAAGAUUCAGUUGCUUAGCAUUCAAGAUAAAGUAGUAAACUGGAUUAGACACUAUAGAUUGUUGCAUUUCUGAUUGGUGCCUGUAUCUCGUGCAGUGACACGGGGAUCGGUGCUGUGCCUGUUGUUGUUUGUCAUCUAUAUCAAUGAUCUGGUUGAAAUUACGGUUAACAGCAUCAGCAAAUUUGCUGUUGACUCCAACAUUUGGAAGGUGCAGUGGACAAAGAGGAAGACUACACGACCUUGCAGUGAGGUCUGGACCAACUGAAGAAUGCGCUUAAAAGGGGAAGAUGCAACUUAAUGCA
Long non-coding RNA from Hypanus sabinus (Atlantic stingray), 3157 nucleotides. RefSeq lists it as uncharacterized. The record is from RefSeq and is a predicted model, not a curated record. The transcript has 3 exons. Lineage: Eukaryota; Metazoa; Chordata; Chondrichthyes; Myliobatiformes; Dasyatidae.